Molecule: long non-coding RNA, 264 nt
Organism: Meriones unguiculatus (Mongolian gerbil)
Lineage: Eukaryota; Metazoa; Chordata; Mammalia; Rodentia; Muridae
Exons: 3
Source: RefSeq, a predicted model, not a curated record
ACAGGUGCUUGUGAUACUGAAGGAACCAGAGGACAGCAUCAGCUCUGACGUGUUGACAAGGGCCACGUCCCUUCUGCCACAGAUCUAAACGCAGAAUUCUUGGCUUCUUCUCCAGCACCAUGUCUGCCUGUGCACUGCCAUGCUUCCUGCCAUUGAUGACAAUGAACCUAUCAGGAUGUAAGCUCUCAGCUCCAGCACCAUGCCUACUCCUCAUCAUUAAUGGCCAUGGACUCUAACACUCUGAAACUGUGACCCUUCCCCCCA